RNAcentral lists this ribosomal RNA (1533 nucleotides) under Escherichia coli DEC8C. RNAcentral's name for it is "bacterial SSU rRNA". It matches the Rfam family "Bacterial small subunit ribosomal RNA". The record is from RNAcentral. Lineage: Bacteria; Pseudomonadati; Pseudomonadota; Gammaproteobacteria; Enterobacterales; Enterobacteriaceae.
AGAGUUUGAUCAUGGCUCAGAUUGAACGCUGGCGGCAGGCCUAACACAUGCAAGUCGAACGGUAACAGAAAGCAGCUUGCUGCUUUGCUGACGAGUGGCGGACGGGUGAGUAAUGUCUGGGAAACUGCCUGAUGGAGGGGGAUAACUACUGGAAACGGUAGCUAAUACCGCAUAACGUCGCAAGACCAAAGAGGGGGACCUUCGGGCCUCUUGCCAUCGGAUGUGCCCAGAUGGGAUUAGCUUGUUGGUGGGGUAACGGCUCACCAAGGCGACGAUCCCUAGCUGGUCUGAGAGGAUGACCAGCCACACUGGAACUGAGACACGGUCCAGACUCCUACGGGAGGCAGCAGUGGGGAAUAUUGCACAAUGGGCGCAAGCCUGAUGCAGCCAUGCCGCGUGUAUGAAGAAGGCCGUUCGGGUUAGUAAAGUACUUUCAGGCGGGGAGGAAGGGAGUAAAGUUAAUACCUUUGCUCAUUGACGUUACCCGCAGAAGAAGCACCGGCUAACUCCGUGCCAGCAGCCGCGGUAAUACGGAGGGUGCAAGCGUUAAUCGGAAUUACUGGGCGUAAAGCGCACGCAGGCGGUUUGUUAAGUCAGAUGUGAAAUCCCCGGGCUCAACCUGGGAACUGCAUCUGAUACUGGCAAGCUUGAGUCUCGUAGAGGGGGGUAGAAUUCCAGGUGUAGCGGUGAAAUGCGUAGAGAUCUGGAGGAAUACCGGUGGCGAAGGCGGCCCCCUGGACGAAGACUGACGCUCAGGUGCGAAAGCGUGGGGAGCAAACAGGAUUAGAUACCCUGGUAGUCCACGCCGUAAACGAUGUCGACUUGGAGGUUGUGCCCUUGAGGCGUGGCUUCCGGAGCUAACGCGUUAAGUCGACCGCCUGGGGAGUACGGCCGCAAGGUUAAAACUCAAAUGAAUUGACGGGGGCCCGCACAAGCGGUGGAGCAUGUGGUUUAAUUCGAUGCAACGCGAAGAACCUUACCUGGUCUUGACAUCCACGGAAGUUUUCAGAGAUGAGAAUGUGCCUUCGGGAACCGUGAGACAGGUGCUGCAUGGCUGUCGUCAGCUCGUGUUGUGAAAUGUUGGGUUAAGUCCCGCAACGAGCGCAACCCUUAUCCUUUGUUGCCAGCGGUCCGGCCGGGAACUCAAAGGAGACUGCCAGUGAUAAACUGGAGGAAGGUGGGGAUGACGUCAAGUCAUCAUGGCCCUUACGACCAGGGCUACACACGUGCUACAAUGGCGCAUACAAAGAGAAGCGACCUCGCGAGAGCAAGCGGACCUCAUAAAGUGCGUCGUAGUCCGGAUUGGAGUCUGCAACUCGACUCCAUGAAGUCGGAAUCGCUAGUAAUCGUGGAUCAGAAUGCCACGGUGAAUACGUUCCCGGGCCUUGUACACACCGCCCGUCACACCAUGGGAGUGGGUUGCAAAAGAAGUAGGUAGCUUAACCUUCGGGAGGGCGCUUACCACUUUGUGAUUCAUGACUGGGGUGAAGUCGUAACAAGGUAACCGUAGGGGAACCUGCGGUUGGAUCACCU